GUGGAGCAGUCCAUGAGUACAGUGGCGUACGGGUGAGUAACACGUGGAUCAUCUACCUCUUGAUGGGGAAUAACCCUGGGAAACCGGGGCUAAUACCGCAUAAGCCUGUAAAGGGAAAGCAGCAAUGCGUCGAGAGAGGAGUCCGCGGCCGAUUAGCUAGUUGGUAGGGUAAAGGCCUACCAAGGCAAUGAUCGGUAGCCGGCCUGAGAGGGCACACGGCCACACUGGCACUGAAACACGGGCCAGACUCCUACGGGAGGCAGCAGUGGGGAAUCUUGCACAAUGGAGGAAACUCUGAUGCAGCGACGCCGCGUGAGCGAUGAAGCCCUUCGGGGUGUAAAGCUCUUCCGGCAGGAACG
RNAcentral lists this ribosomal RNA (359 nucleotides) under uncultured bacterium. Its description in RNAcentral is "bacterial SSU rRNA". It matches the Rfam family "Bacterial small subunit ribosomal RNA", at positions 74 to 447 of the family's 1533-position model. The record is from RNAcentral.